GACGAACGCUGGCGGCGUGCUUAACACAUGCAAGUCGAACGGAAAGGCCCUGCUUUUGUGGGGUGCUCGAGUGGCGAACGGGUGAGUAACACGUGAGUAACCUGCCCUUGACUUUGGGAUAACUUCAGGAAACUGGGGCUAAUACCGGAUAGGAGCUCCUGCUGCAUGGUGGGGGUUGGAAAGUUUCGGCGGUUGGGGAUGGACUCGCGGCUUAUCAGCUUGUUGGUGGGGUAGUGGCUUACCAAGGCUUUGACGGGUAGCCGGCCUGAGAGGGUGACCGGCAAAAUUGGGACGGGGGAAGGGCCCAGACCCCUAGGGGGGGCAGCGGGGGGGAAUUUUGCACAAGGGGGGGAAGCCGGAUGCAGAAACGCCGGGGGGGGGAGGGCGGCCUUCGGGUUGUAAACCGCUUUCGCCUGUGACGAAGCGGGGGGGACGGUAAUGGGGAAAGAAGCACCGGCUAACUACGU
RNAcentral lists this ribosomal RNA (467 nucleotides) under uncultured bacterium. RNAcentral describes it as "partial 16S ribosomal RNA". It matches the Rfam family "Bacterial small subunit ribosomal RNA", at positions 28 to 506 of the family's 1533-position model. The record is from RNAcentral.